This is a long non-coding RNA of Morus notabilis, 525 nucleotides long. RefSeq lists it as uncharacterized. Lineage: Eukaryota; Viridiplantae; Streptophyta; Magnoliopsida; Rosales; Moraceae. The transcript has 3 exons. The record is from RefSeq and is a predicted model, not a curated record.
AGAGAGAGAGACGUGAGGAAGUUACGAAGAAAGAAAAAAAAAAAGAGAGUUGCUAGAGAGAGACAGAGGAAGGAAAAUCAAGCAUUUUCAUUGAGAUUUCUUUCGUUCAGUCUGGUAGAAACGUAACCUGAGGCGUUCUAGCAAAAAAACCUCAACUUCUGGAGGUUUUGGCACGAGAGUCGACACAACAAGAAAGAACUUCUAGCAAGCGGGAAUCCUAGCGGAUUAUUUGGAAGUAUAGACAUAUAUGUUUGUCUGGAUUCAAGUAACAAAGGUAAGCAGCCAACCAUAAAGUGAUUUUGCUUGAUGGACCGGCAGAGGCAAGGGUGGCGGAAAUGUCAUGGGUACACGAGAAUGGUUUCGACUAUGCUCGCUUAGAAAUUAAAUUCCACUGCAGAGUAAUGUAAUAUAGAAUCAAGUUUAUAUGUUUCAGUUUUAAGGAAAAGAUGUUACGGUCAUUGUCUUAGUAAAGAACAAUAGACUGUAAUAAGUUAAGAUAAGUUUCGGGGACCUGUUCCAUAUCCG